UACGUAGGGUGCGAGCGUUGUCCGGAAUUAUUGGGCGUAAAGCGCGCGCAGGUGGUUUCUUAAGUCUGAUGUGAAAGCCCACGGCUCAACCGUGGAGGGUCAUUGGAAACUGGGGAACUUGAGUGCAGAAGAGGAAAGUGGAAUUCCAAGUGUAGCGGUGAAAUGCGUAGAGAUUUGGAGGAACACCAGUGGCGAAGGCGACUUUCUGGUCUGUAACUGACACUGAGGCGCGAAAGCGUGGGGAGCGAACAGG
Molecule: ribosomal RNA, 253 nt
Filed under: uncultured bacterium
Lineage: Bacteria
Description: partial 16S ribosomal RNA
Rfam family: Bacterial small subunit ribosomal RNA
Source: RNAcentral